Molecule: non-coding RNA, 449 nt
Organism: Caenorhabditis elegans
Lineage: Eukaryota; Metazoa; Nematoda; Chromadorea; Rhabditida; Rhabditidae
Source: Ensembl
UGUAAUCGAAAUCGAUCGAUGUUUGAAUGAUAAUAAACCAUGCUAAUUAGCUAGCCGGAUGCUAGACGGCAAAAUAAGCAAUAAUAUACAAAACCAGUACAUCUGUGUCGCCGGAUGUAGUCCGAACACUGUAUAUCAUUUUUCUUCCCGUUUAUUCAAUCUCCAUGCCGUUAUGCCAAAAUCAGUCAAUAGUAAGUGGGAAGUUGGAAGACGGCUAAUAAGCUAGAUAACUGAAAGAGUUGAGCCGGGAGCUCUGUGUAGACGGAUGAAAUCAAGAGAGGAAAGAGAGCUAAGCCAGUAUGUAUGUGUAUGAGAAUUGUGUCUCUGUGUGCGCCCGCGUACGCCCUUUCAACACGAAUACAAAAGACUGAAUAGGAGGAAUGGAGCGGUGGAUUGAAAAGAAACAAUGCGCUGUAAUGAUUGGGGGAGACUCGACGACGACGACACAG